Schistosoma mansoni is the source of this 46-nucleotide non-coding RNA. The record is from Rfam. Lineage: Eukaryota; Metazoa; Platyhelminthes; Trematoda; Strigeidida; Schistosomatidae.
GCACCGCUGGGGAGUCCCAUAAUAGGACGAAACGGCCGUCCAGUGC